RNAcentral lists this non-coding RNA (898 nucleotides) under Perkinsus marinus ATCC 50983. Its description in RNAcentral is "Eukaryotic large subunit ribosomal RNA". It matches the Rfam family "Eukaryotic large subunit ribosomal RNA", at positions 820 to 1718 of the family's 3401-position model. Lineage: Eukaryota; Perkinsozoa; Perkinsida; Perkinsidae. The record is from Rfam by way of RNAcentral.
AAGAUGGUGAACUAUGCCUGAGCAGGGUGAAGCCAGGGGAAACUCUGGUGGAGGCUCGUAGCGAUACUGACGUGCAAAUCGUUCGUCAGACUUGGGUAUAGGGGCGAAAGACUAAUCGAACCAUCUAGUAGCUGGUUCCCUCCGAAGUUUCCCUCAGGAUAGCUAGAGUCUUUAUCAGUUUUGUCAGGUAAAGCGAAUGAUUAGAGGUUCCGGGGAAGUAACUUCCUCGACCUAUUCUCAAACUUUAAAUGGGCAAGAUCCAGUAGUUACUUAAUUGAACUAUUGGGGUCAAUGAGACGACUCUAAGUGGGCCAUUUUUGGUAAGCAGAACUGGCGAUGAGGGAUGAACCUAACGCUCGGUUAAGGUGCUAAACUGCUCGCUCAUCAGAUACCACAAAGGGUGUUGGUCGAUCUUAACAGCAGGACGGUGGUCAUGGAAGUCGAAAUCCGCUAAGGAGUGUGUAACAACUCACCUGCCGAAUCGACUAGCCCCGAAAAUGGAUAGCGCUGAAGCGAGUGACCGAUACCGGGCCAUUGUUGCAAGAUAAUUGGCAACAAUGAGUAGGAGGGCGUGGGGGUUGUGAAGAAGCUUGGACGUGAGUCUGAGUGAAACAGCUUCCAGUGCAGAUCUUGGUGGUAGUAGCAAGUAUUCAAUAAGAGAACAUUGAAGGCCGAAGUGGGGAAGGGUUCCAUGUGAACAGCACUUGGACAUGGGUUAGCCGAUCCUGAGAGACAGGUUAAAUUCCAUCGGAUUGGAGCUUUGGCUCUGUUUCUCGAAAGGGAAGCUGGUUAGUAUUCCAGCGCCGAGACGUGGAUAAUAUGUGGCAACACAAGUGAACUCGGACACGCCAUAGGGGACCCCAGGAAGCGUUGUCUUUUCUUUUUAACAGUCGACUAC